Ornithorhynchus anatinus (platypus) is the source of this 138-nucleotide non-coding RNA. The record is from Rfam. Lineage: Eukaryota; Metazoa; Chordata; Mammalia; Monotremata; Ornithorhynchidae.
CCCCUCUCAGGGUCACACCUGGAGAGUUUCCAGUACUCUACCAGUCUCAGCUAUUGAAGGGAGAGUCAAGGAGAGGCCUACCCAUUCCAUUCCUUGCUUGAGCAGUGGCUAGCGAGUGGAAGGCAAUCUGCUACAAGG